CGAGAUGAGGCCCAAAGCCUUCCUUGCCAGAUUGCCUUCUCUGGGGGUGCUUGAAAUCCCACUUGGACUGUGAAGUUCUAGGAGCAGAGCCCAGGCAGCCAGGCCUCACUGGCCACGAUGCCGGAGGCACCUGAUGUGCUGGAGGAGACCGUGACGGUGGAGGAGGACCCCGGCACACCCACUUCCCAUGUGUCUAUUGUCACAUCCGAAGAUGGCACAACCCGGCGCACCGAGACCAAGGUCACCAAGACUGUUAAGACGGUGACCACUCGGACAGUACGCCAGGUGCCCGUGGGCCCAGAUGGACUCCCCCUGCUGGAUGGCGGCCCCCCACUAGGCCCUUUUGCAGAUGGUGCCCUGGACCGGCAUUUCCUGCUGCGUGGUGGUGGCCCAGCGGCCACACUCUCUCGAGCCUACCUCAGCAGCGGGGGUG
Molecule: small RNA, 433 nt
Filed under: Pan troglodytes (chimpanzee)
Lineage: Eukaryota; Metazoa; Chordata; Mammalia; Primates; Hominidae
Description: processed transcript
Source: RNAcentral